UGGGGAAUAUUGGACAAUGGGCGAAAGCCUGAUCCAGCCAUGCCGCGUGUGUGAAGAAGGCCUUUUGGUUGUAAAGCACUUUAAGUGGGGAGGAAAAGCUUGUGGUUAAUACCCAUAAGCCCUGACGUUACCCACAGAAUAAGCACCGGCUAACUCUGUGCCAGCAGCCGCGGUAAUACAGAGGGUGCAAGCGUUAAUCGGAAUUACUGGGCGUAAAGCGAGCGUAGGUGGUUAUUUAAGUCAGAUGUGAAAGCCCUGGGCUCAACCUAGGAACUGCAUCUGAUACUGGAUAACUAGAGUAGGUGAGAGGGAAGUAGAAUUCCAGGUGUAGCGGUGAAAUGCGUAGAGAUCUGGAGGAAUACCGAUGGCGAAGGCAGCUUCCUGGCAUCAUACUGACACU
Molecule: ribosomal RNA, 400 nt
Filed under: uncultured bacterium
Lineage: Bacteria
Description: bacterial SSU rRNA
Rfam family: Bacterial small subunit ribosomal RNA
Source: RNAcentral